GUUCUUCAGGAGAUCGGGGACGGCGCUCUGCGGAUCCGCCGACGCAGCCAGUGUCGAAGAGGCGCUCGCGCCGGUGAACGCGAUCGAAAGCCGGAUGCUGCACAGCUCGAUCUGCUCCUGCGUGAGGCCGUCGACGUUCUCGUCUGCGGCCUCGCCCUUCGCUCGCACCGUGCACGCGGCCGCGACGCCGACCAAGGCGAUCGCGGCCGGGACGAGCACGCCCCGCGCAAACGUCCAAC
RNAcentral lists this unclassified non-coding RNA (239 nucleotides) under uncultured fungus. Its description in RNAcentral is "sequence contains ITS1". The record is from RNAcentral. Lineage: Eukaryota; Fungi.